CUUGUGACUGAGCGGCGGACGGGUGAGUAACGCGUGGGCAACCUGCCUUACACAGGGGGAUAACAGUUAGAAAUGACUGCUAAUACCGCAUAAGACCACAAAACCGCAUGGUUUAGUGGUAAAAACUCCGGUGGUGUAAGAUGGGCCCGCGUCUGAUUAGGUAGUUGGUGGGGUAACGGCCUACCAAGCCGACGAUCAGUAGCCGACCUGAGAGGGUGACCGGCCACAUUGGGACUGAGACACGGCCCAGACUCCUACGGAAGGCAGCAG
RNAcentral lists this ribosomal RNA (270 nucleotides) under uncultured bacterium. RNAcentral's name for it is "partial 16S ribosomal RNA". It matches the Rfam family "Bacterial small subunit ribosomal RNA", at positions 84 to 354 of the family's 1533-position model. The record is from RNAcentral.